This 301-nucleotide ribosomal RNA is filed under the name uncultured bacterium. Its description in RNAcentral is "partial 16S ribosomal RNA". It matches the Rfam family "Bacterial small subunit ribosomal RNA", at positions 509 to 807 of the family's 1533-position model. The record is from RNAcentral.
CAGCAGCCGCGGUAAUACAGAGGGUGCGAGCGUUAAUCGGAUUUACUGGGCGUAAAGCGCACGCAGGCGGUCUGUCAAGUCAGAUGUGAAAUCCCCGGGCUUAACCUGGGAACUGCAUUUGAAACUGGCAGGCUAGAGUCUUGUAGAGGGGGGUAGAAUUCCAGGUGUAGCGGUGAAAUGCGUAGAGAUCUGGAGGAAUACCGGUGGCGAAGGCGGCCCCCUGGACAAAGACUGACGCUCAGGUGCGAAAGCGUGGGGAGCAAACAGGAUUAGAUACCCCGGUAGUCCCUGUCUCUUAUAC